GAUGAAGAACGUAGCGAAAUGCGAUAAGUAGUGUGAAUUGCAGAAUUCAGUGAAUCUUCGAAUCUUUGAACGCACAUUGCGCCCUUUGGUAUUCCUUAGGGCAUGCCUGUUCGAGCGUCAUUUAAACCUUCAAGCUAAGCUUGGUGUUGGGUGACUGUCCGCUUCACGGCGGACUCGCCUCAAAAUUAUUGGCGGCCGGUACAUUGGCUUCGAGCGCAGCAGAAACGCGAACUCGGGCCCGUCGUAUUGGCUCCCAGAAGCUAUCUUCACAAUUUUGACCUCGGAUCAGGUAGGGAUACCCGCUGAACUUAAGCAUAUCAAUAAGCGGAGGA
Molecule: unclassified non-coding RNA, 332 nt
Filed under: soil metagenome
Description: partial contains 5.8S ribosomal RNA, internal transcribed spacer 2, and large subunit ribosomal RNA
Rfam family: 5.8S ribosomal RNA (bases 1-120)
Source: RNAcentral